This 69-nucleotide transfer RNA is filed under the name Trichiurus lepturus (Atlantic cutlassfish). RNAcentral's name for it is "tRNA-Gly". It matches the Rfam family "tRNA". Rfam says of the family: Transfer RNA (tRNA) molecules are approximately 80 nucleotides in length. Their secondary structure includes four short double-helical elements and three loops (D, anti-codon, and T loops). Further hydrogen bonds mediate the characteristic L-shaped molecular structure. tRNAs have two regions of fundamental functional importance: the anti-codon, which is responsible for specific mRNA codon recognition, and the 3' end, to which the tRNAs corresponding amino acid is attached (by aminoacyl-tRNA synthetases). tRNAs cope with the degeneracy of the genetic code in two manners: having more than one tRNA (with a specific anti-codon) for a particular amino acid; and 'wobble' base-pairing, i.e. permitting non-standard base-pairing at the 3rd anti-codon position. The record is from RNAcentral. Lineage: Eukaryota; Metazoa; Chordata; Actinopteri; Scombriformes; Trichiuridae.
AUCUUUUUAGUACAGCUAGUAUAUUUGACUUCCAAUCAAAAAGCCUUGGUUAAACUCCAAGAAUAGAUA